ACGAACGCUGGCGGCGUGCUUAACACAUGCAAGUCGAACGGAAAGGCCUCUUUCGGGGGGUACUCGAGUGGCGAACGGGUGAGUAACACGUGAGUAACCUGCCCUUGACUUUGGGAUAACUUCAGGAAACUGGGGCUAAUACCGGAUAGGAGCUCCUGCUGCAUGGUGGGGGUUGGAAAGUUUCGGCGGUUGGGGAUGGACUCGCGGCUUAUCAGCUUGUUGGUGGGGUAGUGGCUUACCAAGGCUUUGACGGGUAGCCGGCCUGAGAGGGUGACCGGCCACAUUGGGACUGAGAUACGGCCCAGACUGCUACGGGAGGCAGCAGUGGGGAAUAUUGCACAAUGGGUGGAAGCCGGAUGCAGCAACGCCGUGUGCGGGAUGACGGCCUUCGGGUUGUAAACCGCUUUCGCUCAUGACGAAGCUUUGUGUGACGGUAGUGGGUAAAGAAGCACCGGCUAACUACGUG
Molecule: ribosomal RNA, 466 nt
Filed under: uncultured bacterium
Lineage: Bacteria
Description: partial 16S ribosomal RNA
Rfam family: Bacterial small subunit ribosomal RNA
Source: RNAcentral